UACGUAGGGGGCAAGCGUUGUCCGGAAUCAUUGGGCGUAAAGCGCGUGUAGGCGGUCCGGUAAGUCGGCUGUGAAAGUCCAGGGCUCAACCCUGGGAUGCCGGUCGAUACUGCCGGACUAGAGUUCGGAAGAGGCGAGUGGAAUUCCCGGUGUAGCGGUGAAAUGCGUAGAGAUCUGGAGGAACACCGAUGGCGAAGGCAGCCCCCUGGGCUAACACUGACGCUCAUGCACGAAAGCGUGGGGAGCAAACAGG
This 253-nucleotide ribosomal RNA is filed under the name uncultured bacterium. RNAcentral describes it as "partial 16S ribosomal RNA". It matches the Rfam family "Bacterial small subunit ribosomal RNA", at positions 524 to 776 of the family's 1533-position model. The record is from RNAcentral.